This 466-nucleotide ribosomal RNA is filed under the name uncultured bacterium. RNAcentral's name for it is "partial 16S ribosomal RNA". It matches the Rfam family "Bacterial small subunit ribosomal RNA", at positions 28 to 507 of the family's 1533-position model. The record is from RNAcentral.
GACGAACGCUGGCGGCGUGCUUAACACAUGCAAGUCGAACGGAAAGGCCCUGCUUGCAGUGUUCUCGAGUGGCGCACGGGUGAGUAACACGUGGGUGAUCUGCCCUGCACUUCGGUAUAACCUUGGGAAACUGGCUCUUAUCCCGGAGAGGAGCCAUCUUUAGUGUGUUGGUUGGAGAGUUUUUUCGGUGUAGGAUGAGCUCGCGGCCUAUCAGCUUGGUGGUGGGGUAAUAGCCUACCAAGGCGGCGACGGGUAGCCGGCCUGAGAGGGUGUACGGCCACAUUGGGGCUGAGAUACGGGCCAGACUCCUACGGGGGGCAGGAGGGGGGAAUAUUGGACAAUGGGCGGAAGCCUGAUGGAGCGACGCCGCGUGGGGGAUGAAGGCCUUCGGGGUGGAAACUCCUUUCGCUAGGGACGAAGCCUUGUUGUGACGGUACCUAGAGAAGAAGCACCGGCUAACUACGUG